RNAcentral lists this ribosomal RNA (253 nucleotides) under uncultured bacterium. RNAcentral describes it as "partial 16S ribosomal RNA". It matches the Rfam family "Bacterial small subunit ribosomal RNA", at positions 524 to 776 of the family's 1533-position model. The record is from RNAcentral.
UACGUAGGUGGCAAGCGUUAUCCGGAUUUAUUGGGUGUAAAGGGCGUGUAGGCGGGAGCGCAAGUCAGAUGUGAAAACUCAGGGCUCAACCCUGAGCCUGCAUUUGAAACUGUGUUUCUUGAGUGCUGGAGAGGCAAUCGGAAUUCCGUGUGUAGCGGUGAAAUGCGUAGAUAUACGGAGGAACACCAGUGGCGAAGGCGGAUUGCUGGACAGUAACAGACGCUGAGGCGCGAAAGCGUGGGGAGCAAACAGG